GGGGAAUUUUCCGCAAUGGGCGAAAGCCUGACGGAGCAAUACCGCGUGAGGGAGGAAGGCUCUUGGGUUGUAAACCUCUUUUCUCAGGGAAGAAAAAAAUGACGGUACCUGAGGAAUAAGCAUCGGCUAACUCCGUGCCAGCAGCCGCGGUAAUACGGAGGAUGCAAGCGUUAUCCGGAAUGAUUGGGCGUAAAGCGUCCGCAGGUGGCUAUGUAAGUCUGCUGUUAAAGAAUCUGGCUCAACCAGAUAAAGGCAGUGGAAACUACAUGGCUAGAGUGCGUUCGGGGCAGAGGGAAUUCCUGGUGUAGCGGUGAAAUGCGUAGAGAUCAGGAAGAACACCGGUGGCGAAAGCGCUCUGCUAGGCCGCAACUGACACUGAGGGACGAAAGCUAGGGGAGCGAAUGGGAUUAGAUACCCCAG
RNAcentral lists this ribosomal RNA (420 nucleotides) under uncultured Tolypothrix sp. RNAcentral describes it as "bacterial SSU rRNA". It matches the Rfam family "Bacterial small subunit ribosomal RNA", at positions 356 to 790 of the family's 1533-position model. Lineage: Bacteria; Bacillati; Cyanobacteriota; Cyanophyceae; Nostocales; Tolypothrichaceae. The record is from RNAcentral.